Molecule: ribosomal RNA, 466 nt
Filed under: Cypraeovula edentula
Lineage: Eukaryota; Metazoa; Mollusca; Gastropoda; Littorinimorpha; Cypraeidae
Also listed under: 1 other name
Description: partial 16S large subunit ribosomal RNA
Rfam family: Bacterial large subunit ribosomal RNA
Source: RNAcentral
GAGUCAGACCUGCCCAGUGAAUAAUUUUUAACGGCCGCGGUACUCUGACCGUGCAAAGGUAGCAUAAUCAUUUGCCCUAUAAUUGAGGGCUAGUAUGAAUGGUUUGACGUGAACAAAACUGUCUCUAUAUAAUUUUUUAGAAUUUGAUUUUUAGGUGAAGAAACCUAAAUAUUAUUGAAAGACAAGAAGACCCUAUUGAGCUUUAAAAAAAUAAAUAGAAAAUAAUAUAUAAUUUUUAAAUAUUAAUCAAUUUUUAAAUUUUGGUUGGGGCGACUAUGGAACAAACAAAGCUUCUUUAUUAUUAAUAAUACUAACAAGUCUUGAUCCAAAAAUUAUGAUUAAUGAAAUUAGUUACCUUAGGGAUAACAGCAUAAUUCUCUUUAAGAGUUCUUAUCGAAAAGAGAGUUUGUGACCUCGAUGUUGGACUAGAAUAUCCUAAAGAUGCAGCAGUCUUUAAAGGUUGGUC